RNAcentral lists this ribosomal RNA (597 nucleotides) under Aspergillus oryzae. RNAcentral's name for it is "eukaryotic LSU rRNA". The stretch from base 214 to 367 matches the Rfam family "5.8S ribosomal RNA". The record is from RNAcentral. Lineage: Eukaryota; Fungi; Ascomycota; Eurotiomycetes; Eurotiales; Aspergillaceae.
UUCCGUAGGUGAACCUGCGGAAGGAUCAUUACCGAGUGUAGGGUUCCUAGCGAGCCCAACCUCCCACCCGUGUUUACUGUACCUUAGUUGCUUCGGCGGGCCCGCCAUUCAUGGCCGCCGGGGGCUCUCAGCCCCGGGCCCGCGCCCGCCGGAGACACCACGAACUCUGUCUGAUCUAGUGAAGUCUGAGUUGAUUGUAUCGCAAUCAGUUAAAACUUUCAACAAUGGAUCUCUUGGUUCCGGCAUCGAUGAAGAACGCAGCGAAAUGCGAUAACUAGUGUGAAUUGCAGAAUUCCGUGAAUCAUCGAGUCUUUGAACGCACAUUGCGCCCCCUGGUAUUCCGGGGGGCAUGCCUGUCCGAGCGUCAUUGCUGCCCAUCAAGCACGGCUUGUGUGUUGGGUCGUCGUCCCCUCUCCGGGGGGGACGGGCCCCAAAGGCAGCGGCGGCACCGCGUCCGAUCCUCGAGCGUAUGGGGCUUUGUCACCCGCUCUGUAGGCCCGGCCGGCGCUUGCCGAACGCAAAUCAAUCUUUUUCCAGGUUGACCUCGGAUCAGGUAGGGAUACCCGCUGAACUUAAGCAUAUCAAUAAGCGGAGGAA